GCGUAAUAGCUCACUGGUCGAGUCGGCCUGCGCGGAAGAUGUAACGGGGCUAAACCAUGCACCGAAGCUGCGGCAGCGACACGAUGUGUUGUUGGGUAGGGGAGCGUUCUGUAAGCCUGCGAAGGUGACCUGUGAGGGUUGCUGGAGGUAUCAGAAGUGCGAAUGCUGACAUAAGUAACGAUAAAGCGGGUGAAAAGCCCGCUCGCCGGAAGACCAAGGGUUCCUGUCCAACGUUAAUCGGGGCAGGGUGAGUCGACCCCUAAGGCGAGGCCGAAAGGCGUAGUCGAUGGGAAACAGGUUAAUAUUCCUGUACUUGGUGUUACUGCGAAGGGGGGACGGAGAAGGCUAUGUUAGCCGGGCGACGGUUGUCCCGGUUUAAGCAUGUAGGCUGGUUAUCCAGGCAAAUCCGGAUAAUCAAGGCUGAGGUGUGAUGACGAGGCACUACGGUGCUGAAGUAACAAAUGCCCUGCUUCCAGGAAAAGCCUCUAAGCAUCAGGUAACACGAAAUCGUACCCCAAACCGACACAGGUGGUCAGGUAGAGAAUACCAAGGCGCUUGAGAGAACUCGGGUGAAGGAACUAGGCAAAAUGGUGCCGUAACUUCGGGAGAAGGCACGCUGGUGUGUAGGUGAAGCCCCUGCGGAUGGAGCUGAGACCAGUCGAAGAUACCAGCUGGCUGCAACUGUUUAUUAAAAACACAGCACUGUGCAAACACGAAAGUGGACGUAUACGGUGUGACGCCUGCCCGGUGCCGGAAGGUUAAUUGAUGGG
Molecule: ribosomal RNA, 770 nt
Filed under: Klebsiella quasipneumoniae subsp. similipneumoniae
Lineage: Bacteria; Pseudomonadati; Pseudomonadota; Gammaproteobacteria; Enterobacterales; Enterobacteriaceae
Description: partial 23S ribosomal RNA
Rfam family: Bacterial large subunit ribosomal RNA
Source: RNAcentral